This 1399-nucleotide ribosomal RNA is filed under the name Enterococcus durans. RNAcentral describes it as "bacterial SSU rRNA". It matches the Rfam family "Bacterial small subunit ribosomal RNA", at positions 61 to 1434 of the family's 1533-position model. The record is from RNAcentral. Lineage: Bacteria; Bacillati; Bacillota; Bacilli; Lactobacillales; Enterococcaceae.
GUCGUACGCUUCUUUUUCCCCGGAGCUUGCUCCACCGGAAAAAGAAGAGUGGCGAACGGGUGAGUAACACGUGGGUAACCUGCCCAUCAGAAGGGGAUAACACUUGGAAACAGGUGCUAAUACCGUAUAACAAUCGAAACCGCAUGGUUUUGAUUUGAAAGGCGCUUUCGGGUGUCGCUGAUGGAUGGACCCGCGGUGCAUUAGCUAGUUGGUGAGGUAACGGCUCACCAAGGCCACGAUGCAUAGCCGACCUGAGAGGGUGAUCGGCCACAUUGGGACUGAGACACGGCCCAAACUCCUACGGGAGGCAGCAGUAGGGAAUCUUCGGCAAUGGACGAAAGUCUGACCGAGCAACGCCGCGUGAGUGAAGAAGGUUUUCGGAUCGUAAAACUCUGUUGUUAGAGAAGAACAAGGAUGAGAGUAACUGUUCAUCCCUUGACGGUAUCUAACCAGAAAGCCACGGCUAACUACGUGCCAGCAGCCGCGGUAAUACGUAGGUGGCAAGCGUUGUCCGGAUUUAUUGGGCGUAAAGCGAGCGCAGGCGGUUUCUUAAGUCUGAUGUGAAAGCCCCCGGCUCAACCGGGGAGGGUCAUUGGAAACUGGGAGACUUGAGUGCAGAAGAGGAGAGUGGAAUUCCAUGUGUAGCGGUGAAAUGCGUAGAUAUAUGGAGGAACACCAGUGGCGAAGGCGGCUCUCUGGUCUGUAACUGACGCUGAGGCUCGAAAGCGUGGGGAGCAAACAGGAUUAGAUACCCUGGUAGUCCACGCCGUAAACGAUGAGUGCUAAGUGUUGGAGGGUUUCCGCCCUUCAGUGCUGCAGCUAACGCAUUAAGCACUCCGCCUGGGGAGUACGACCGCAAGGUUGAAACUCAAAGGAAUUGACGGGGGCCCGCACAAGCGGUGGAGCAUGUGGUUUAAUUCGAAGCAACGCGAAGAACCUUACCAGGUCUUGACAUCCUUUGACCACUCUAGAGAUAGAGCUUCCCCUUCGGGGGCAAAGUGACAGGUGGUGCAUGGUUGUCGUCAGCUCGUGUCGUGAGAUGUUGGGUUAAGUCCCGCAACGAGCGCAACCCUUAUUGUUAGUUGCCAUCAUUCAGUUGGGCACUCUAGCAAGACUGCCGGUGACAAACCGGAGGAAGGUGGGGAUGACGUCAAAUCAUCAUGCCCCUUAUGACCUGGGCUACACACGUGCUACAAUGGGAAGUACAACGAGUCGCGAAGUCGCGAGGCUAAGCUAAUCUCUUAAAGCUUCUCUCAGUUCGGAUUGUAGGCUGCAACUCGCCUACAUGAAGCCGGAAUCGCUAGUAAUCGCGGAUCAGCACGCCGCGGUGAAUACGUUCCCGGGCCUUGUACACACCGCCCGUCACACCACGAGAGUUUUAACACCCGAAGUCGGUGAG